CUGGCGGCGUGCUUAACACAUGCAAGUCGAACGAUGAAGCCCUUCGGGGUGGAUUAGUGGCGAACGGGUGAGUAACACGUGGGCAAUCUGCCCUUCACUCUGGGACAAGCCCUGGAAACGGGGUCUAAUACCGGAUACGACCUGCCGAGGCAUCUCGGCGGGUGGAAAGCUCCGGCGGUGAAGGAUGAGCCCGCGGCCUAUCAGCUUGUUGGUGGGGUAAUGGCCUACCAAGGCGACGACGGGUAGCCGGCCUGAGAGGGCGACCGGCCACACUGGGACUGAGACACGGCCCAGACUCCUACGGGAGGCAGCAGUGGGGAAUAUUGCACAAUGGGCGCAAGCCUGAUGCAGCGACGCCGCGUGAGGGAUGACGGCCUUCGGGUUGUAAACCUCUUUCAGCAGGGAAGAAGCGCAAGUGACGGUACCUGCAGAAGAAGCGCCGGCUAACUACGUGCCAGCAGCCGCGGUAAUACGUAGGGCGCAAGCGUUGUCCGGAAUUAUUGGGCGUAAAGAGCUCGUAGGCGGCUUGUCACGUCGGGUGUGAAAGCCCGGGGCUUAACCCCGGGUCUGCAUCCGAUACGGGCAGGCUAGAGUGUGGUAGGGGAGAUCGGAAUUCCUGGUGUAGCGGUGAAAUGCGCAGAUAUCAGGAGGAAC
Molecule: ribosomal RNA, 654 nt
Filed under: Streptomyces sp. 45
Lineage: Bacteria; Bacillati; Actinomycetota; Actinomycetes; Kitasatosporales; Streptomycetaceae
Description: bacterial SSU rRNA
Rfam family: Bacterial small subunit ribosomal RNA
Source: RNAcentral